ACUGAAAAUAUGAGAGCAGCUGAUUGCAGUUCAUAGUGAGAGUGGAAUUGAACCCCACUAUAUACCUCCUUAAUUUCCUGCAAAAGGGUGGGAAGAGAGGAAGGGAGGAGAGAUGAUACUUUCCUACAUCAGAUUAGCAAACAACUCUUUAUUUGUUUAUAUUUUUUUAAUGUGAAAGGAAGCUGGGAAUCAUAUUUAUUUGUCUUUUGUACAACGCAACUCUCAUAUUUUACAAAAAUGGAUAUAAUCAGCCCCAUAAAAUUGUAAUCCAUGGGAUCUGAAAGCAAACACUCUUUGUAAUUAUUUAAAAGAGCCUUUUAAAAAAAUUUUAAUACAAAGGUCUGUGCUAUAGAAGCAGUCCUCCACUGUGCAUAAUAACAGUAAGGCUUACUUUGAAUACAAAGACUAAUUACACGUUUGGAGUUACAAACCACUGCACUUAACAAACAUCAUUGUGUAAUUGCUCUUUGUAUCCUUCUUAGCUUUGGGGUCUUCCACUUCCUCUGGCUGUUCAGUAGCAGGUAAGUCUUCAACAGAUUCCUCUUUCUCAGACUCUGAAUCACUUUCAGAGUCCUCUGGACUUUCAGGGUCAGGUGAGUCGUUGUCGUCAUCAUCAUCAUCAUCGUCUUCAUCGUCAUUUCCAGGAGCAUCACCUUCCCCAUCAGGAUCCUCGAACUCACUGAAGCCAAGUCCACAAUUGUCGCCAGUAUCUCCCUGAAAAUUUACUGUCCAUACUCUGUUGAUACUGAGACGCCAGGUCUUCAUUCAUUUUCUUUUCUUCUUCCCCUGUUCUGAAGUAUGUUCUCAAUCCCUCAUGUAAGACUUUCUCUUAUAGAAUUAUGAUAAAGGCCAAUGGGAGGACAGCCACCUGUUAGAUGACGAUGGCCAGAAUUUAUAUCACUCUUUAAAACAGCUCCAAAUUGUUUCCCUUCUACUACACCUCUACCCACUGAGAAGAUGGAGAUUAGAGGAUUGCUAUAGGCCACUUCCACCAUUGCACUCAUCCUUCAGAUACUCAUGGAGACAGUUUCCAGUCAUAAUCAUUUGUGCUAUUUUGGGGAAGGACCUGGGUGUGAGACUUGUUCAGCUUCAUAUAAAGGAUUGCAGGAUCAAGAAGAAUCAUGUCACAGUGGAUAGCUCCAGCCUUAGAACAUAGAAGACCUCAGUUAAAAUCCUCCCUUUUGUGUACUGGUUAGAUGACCCUGGGUAAAUCACUAAGCCCUCUCUGUUCUAGACCACUCUAAAAACUAUAAAUUGUGAAAAAGAUAUUGGCCUGAAGUGGUAGAGGGAGUUUCCUUAUCCAGGGGUUCCUUGUAUCAAUUAAAUCAUGUCUGGUUCAUAUUCCUGUUCCUAUCCAUAAUAUAAUAGAUCUAGAAUUAGAAAGGUGUUUAGAGGCCAUCUAGUUCAUCCCUUCCCAACCCUGAUUUUAUAGAUGAGGAAACUGAAAACUGAGGUUAAAUGAUUUGUUCAAGGUCACACUGGUAGCAAAUGGCAGAGCUGGAAUAUGAAAUCAGAUCUAGACUCUAACUCUAUCCAAUGUGUAAGUGGG
This is a long non-coding RNA of Monodelphis domestica (gray short-tailed opossum), 1549 nucleotides long. NCBI's taxonomy places the organism in Eukaryota, Metazoa, Chordata, Mammalia, Didelphimorphia, Didelphidae. The record is from Ensembl.